CAAGUGGCAGCGGCUGCCGCAACGGUAGCAAAGAACCGUUAGACUUUAAAGCGCCGCCCAAUUGUGCGGUUCGAAUGUAUUUUUUGUUGCGAUUUUCGGCUUUUGUGUUUACAUGCAAACUGUUAUUAUUCUGUGACAUUGUUGCUUCUGGCUCCCGGUGUCGAACAACUUCGCCAAAUGUGUCUAAUGUAAAGCAUGAAUGUAAAAGUGCGCGUUCGUAUUUGUGUGCGUGCGUGCGCGGCUCCGUGCAACAAACAACCACAAAUAAUGUGCAUAAAAACAAGCAACAGCCAUUAAAUAUUAGCCAAAUCAAAUAGCCAACGUUUAAAAUAUAAACAGAAAUCAAUGCGAUAAGCGGCUAAACGGCAACAACAAUAACAACAACAACAAAAAAACGUUAAUCAUAACAGCGGUAGCAGCAGCGACGCUGAUAAACAACGGCCAAGGUAAGUUGAGUGUAAAGCUUUGAGUUCUGCUCAAGCGCAAAACACAAAAAAAAAAAAA
Long non-coding RNA from Drosophila busckii, 504 nucleotides. RefSeq lists it as uncharacterized. The record is from RefSeq and is a predicted model, not a curated record. The transcript is spliced from 2 exons. NCBI's taxonomy places the organism in Eukaryota, Metazoa, Arthropoda, Insecta, Diptera, Drosophilidae.